Molecule: small RNA, 28 nt
Filed under: Bombyx mori (domestic silkworm)
Lineage: Eukaryota; Metazoa; Arthropoda; Insecta; Lepidoptera; Bombycidae
Description: ovarian small RNA-34964
Source: RNAcentral
UGGCUUCGGGCAAAUAUGCUGCACAAGC